RNAcentral lists this ribosomal RNA (251 nucleotides) under uncultured prokaryote. RNAcentral's name for it is "partial 16S rRNA". It matches the Rfam family "Bacterial small subunit ribosomal RNA", at positions 525 to 775 of the family's 1533-position model. The record is from RNAcentral.
ACGGAGGAUGCGAGCGUUAUCCGGAUUUAUUGGGUUUAAAGGGUGCGUAGGCGGAUUAAUAAGUCAGUGGUGAAAACCUUCAGCUUAACUGGAGAACGGCCAUUGAUACUGUUAGUCUUGAGUACGGUCGAGGGAGGCGGAAUGUGUGAUGUAGCGGUGAAAUGCUUAGAUAUUGGGCGGAACACCGGUUGCGAAGGCGGCCUACUGGGCCGUUCCUGACGCUGAGGCGCGAAAGCUUGGGGAGCGAACGG